UGGGGAAUAUUGCACAAUGGGCGCAAGCCUGAUGCAGCGACGCCGCGUGGGGGAUGACGGCCUUCGGGUUGUAAACCUCUUUCAGCAUCGACGAAGCGCAAGUGACGGUAGAUGCAGAAGAAGCACCGGCCAACUACGUGCCAGCAGCCGCGGUAAUACGUAGGGCGCGAGCGUUGUCCGGAAUUACUGGGCGUAAAGAGCUCGUAGGUGGUUUGUCGCGUUGUUCGUGAAAACUCACAGCUCAACUGU
RNAcentral lists this ribosomal RNA (249 nucleotides) under uncultured Mycobacterium sp. RNAcentral's name for it is "partial 16S ribosomal RNA". It matches the Rfam family "Bacterial small subunit ribosomal RNA", at positions 355 to 616 of the family's 1533-position model. The record is from RNAcentral. Lineage: Bacteria; Bacillati; Actinomycetota; Actinomycetes; Mycobacteriales; Mycobacteriaceae.